AGCAGCCGCGGUAAUUCCAGCUCCAAUAGCGUAUAUUAAAGUUGUUGCAGUUAAAAAGCUCGUAGUUGAAUUUCGGGAUCAGUACGCUGGUCAUGCCUUUGGUAUGCACUGGUGUCACUGGUUUCUCCCUUCUGAAGAACCGUGAUGUCAUUAAUUUGGUGUCGCGGGGAAUCAGGACUGUUACUUUGAAAAAAUUAGAGUGUUUAAAGCAGGCUCGCGCUUGAAUACAUUAGCAUGGAAUAAUGAAAUAGGACGUUUGACCCUAUUUUGUUGGUUUCUAGGGUCGACGUAAUGAUUAAUAGGGAUAGUUGGGGGCAUUAGUAUUCAAUUGUCAGAGGUGAAAUUCUUGGAUUUAUUGAAGACUAACUACUGCGAAAGCAUUUGCCAAGGAUGUUUUCAUUAAUCAAGACGAAAGUUAGGGGAUCGAAGACGAUCAGAUACCGUCGUAGUCUUAACCAUAAACUAUGCCGACUAGGGAUCGGAUGAUGUUAAUUUUUUAAUGACUCAUUCGGC
RNAcentral lists this ribosomal RNA (513 nucleotides) under uncultured Glomus. RNAcentral's name for it is "SSU rRNA". It matches the Rfam family "Eukaryotic small subunit ribosomal RNA", at positions 569 to 1084 of the family's 1831-position model. The record is from RNAcentral. Lineage: Eukaryota; Fungi; Glomeromycota; Glomeromycetes; Glomerales; Glomeraceae.